RNAcentral lists this ribosomal RNA (261 nucleotides) under uncultured archaeon. RNAcentral describes it as "partial 16S ribosomal RNA". It matches the Rfam family "Archaeal small subunit ribosomal RNA", at positions 748 to 1009 of the family's 1478-position model. The record is from RNAcentral.
UAGCCGUAAACGAUACUCGCUAGGUGUCGGCCACGGUGCGACCGUUGUCGGUGCCGUAGGGAAGCCGUGAAGCGAGCCACCUGGGAAGUACGGCCGCAAGGCUGAAACUUAAAGGAAUUGGCGGGGGAGCACCACAACGGGUGGAGCUUGCGGUUUAAUUGGAUUCAACGCCGGAAAUCUUACCGGGACCGACAGCAACAUGAAGGCCAGGUUGAUGACCUUGCUUGACAAGCUGAGAGGAGGUGCAUGGCGUAGUCGUGU